UCCCUUGUAGCUCAGUCAGUAAAGAAUCUGCCUGCAAUGCAGGAGACCUGGGUUCGAGUCCUGGGUUGGGAA
RNAcentral lists this transfer RNA (72 nucleotides) under Bos taurus (domestic cattle). It matches the Rfam family "tRNA". Rfam says of the family: Transfer RNA (tRNA) molecules are approximately 80 nucleotides in length. Their secondary structure includes four short double-helical elements and three loops (D, anti-codon, and T loops). The record is from Rfam by way of RNAcentral. RNAcentral also lists the same sequence under 1 other name. Lineage: Eukaryota; Metazoa; Chordata; Mammalia; Artiodactyla; Bovidae.